ACGCUCGACACCUACGGAGGCAGCAGUCGGGAAUAUUGCGCAAUGGAGGGAACUCUGACGCAGUGACGCCGCGUAUAGGAAGAAGGUUUUCGGAUUGUAAACUAUUUUAGACAGGGAAGAAUAAAGACAGUACCUGUAGAAUAAGCUCCGGCUAACUACGUCNCNCAGCGCGUAGUAUNGNGGCGNGNGAGAG
This 193-nucleotide ribosomal RNA is filed under the name uncultured bacterium. RNAcentral's name for it is "partial 16S ribosomal RNA". It matches the Rfam family "Bacterial small subunit ribosomal RNA", at positions 328 to 540 of the family's 1533-position model. The record is from RNAcentral.